Molecule: ribosomal RNA, 253 nt
Filed under: uncultured bacterium
Lineage: Bacteria
Description: partial 16S ribosomal RNA
Rfam family: Bacterial small subunit ribosomal RNA
Source: RNAcentral
UACGUAGGGUGCGAGCGUUGUCCGGAAUUAUUGGGCGUAAAGCGCUUGUAGGCGGUCUGUCGCGUCUGCUGUGAAAAUCCGGGGCUCAACCCCGGACUUGCAGUGGGUACGGGCAGACUAGAGUGUGGUAGGGGAGACUGGAAUUCCUGGUGUAGCGGUGAAAUGCGCAGAUAUCAGGAGGAACACCGAUGGCGAAGGCAGGUCCCUGGGCCGCUACUGACGCUGAGAAGCGAAAGCAUGGGGAGCGAACAGG